AUUGAACGCUGGCGGCAGGCCUAACACAUGCAAGUCGAACGGUAACAGGAAGCAGCUUGCUGCUUUGCUGACGCGUGGCGGACGGGUGAGUAAUGUCUGGGAAACUGCCCGAUGGAGGGGGAUAACUACUGGAAACGGUAGCUAAUACCGCAUAACGUCGCAAGACCAAAGAGGGGGACCUUAGGGCCUCUUGCCAUCGGAUUUGCCCAGAUGGGAUUAGCUAGUAGGUGGGGUAACGGCUCACCUAGGCGACGAUCCCUAGCGGGUCUGAGAGGAUGACCAGCCACACUGGAACUGAGACACGGUCCAGACUCCUACGGGAGGCAGCAGUGGGGAAUAUUGCACAAUGGGCGAAAGCCUGAUGCAGCCAUGCCGCGUGUAUGAAGAAGGCCUUCGGGUUGUAAAGUACUUUCAGCGGGGAGGAAGGGAGUAAAGUUAAUACCUUUGCUCAUUGACGUUACCCGCAGAAGAAGCACCGGCUAACUCCGUG
Molecule: ribosomal RNA, 490 nt
Filed under: uncultured bacterium
Lineage: Bacteria
Description: partial 16S ribosomal RNA
Rfam family: Bacterial small subunit ribosomal RNA
Source: RNAcentral